RNAcentral lists this ribosomal RNA (438 nucleotides) under uncultured bacterium. Its description in RNAcentral is "bacterial SSU rRNA". It matches the Rfam family "Bacterial small subunit ribosomal RNA", at positions 958 to 1398 of the family's 1533-position model. The record is from RNAcentral.
AACGCGAAGAACCUUACCUGGGCUCGAAGCACAGUGGACCGGGGUAGAAAUAUCCCUUUUCGCAAGAACUACUGUGGAGGUGCUGCAUGGCUGUCGUCAGCUCGUGCCGUGAGGUGUUGGGUUAAGUCCCGCAACGAGCGCAACCCUUACUCCUAGUUGCUACCCGCAAGGGAGAACUCUAGGAGGACUGCUCCGGAUAACGGAGAGGAAGGUGGGGAUGACGUCAAGUCAGCACGGCCUUUAUGUCCAGGGCUACACACGUGUUACAAUGCAUGGUACAGACUGUUGCGAACCCGCGAGGGGGAGCUAAUCGGACAAAGCCAUGCUCAGUUCGGAUUGCAGUCUGCAACUCGACUGCAUGAAGCUGGAAUCGCUAGUAAUGCCGCAUCAGAUCGGCGGCGUGAAUACGUUCCCGGGCCUUGUACACACCGAGACGUA